This 359-nucleotide RNase P RNA is filed under the name Paracoccaceae bacterium. RNAcentral's name for it is "Rhodobacteraceae bacterium RNase P RNA component class A". It matches the Rfam family "Bacterial RNase P class A". Rfam says of the family: Ribonuclease P (RNase P) is a ubiquitous endoribonuclease, found in archaea, bacteria and eukarya as well as chloroplasts and mitochondria. Its best characterised activity is the generation of mature 5'-ends of tRNAs by cleaving the 5'-leader elements of precursor-tRNAs. Cellular RNase Ps are ribonucleoproteins. RNAcentral also lists the same sequence under 1 other name. The record is from RNAcentral. Lineage: Bacteria; Pseudomonadati; Pseudomonadota; Alphaproteobacteria; Rhodobacterales; Paracoccaceae.
UCAGGUGGCUGGAUGGUCGCUGUCGGCUCGCCGGCAGAGGAAAGUCCGGGCUCCAUGGAAAUACGGUGCCGGGUAACGCCCGGCGAGGGAAACCUCAGGGAAAGUGCCACAGAAAGCAAACCGCCCCGCAUGCGGGGUAAGGGUGAAAGGGUGCGGUAAGAGCGCACCGCAGAUCCAGUAAUGGCUCUGGCAUGGUAAACCCCACCGGGAGCAAGACCAAGUAGGGACGACAGGCUUUGCCAGGCAUAUUUCCAUGCCGUCGUCCGGGUAGGUUGCAUGAGGCCGCCAGUAAUGGCGGUCCUAGAUGAAUGACCAUCACGCUUAGCGCACAGAACCCGGCUUAUAGGCCACCUGACAUC